Molecule: unclassified non-coding RNA, 395 nt
Filed under: Moritella viscosa
Lineage: Bacteria; Pseudomonadati; Pseudomonadota; Gammaproteobacteria; Alteromonadales; Moritellaceae
Description: putative sRNA
Source: RNAcentral
UUGUCCUUACUUCUUAACUGUAUUCACGAAAAUUGUCAUAUCAGGCACUUUAUUAUUCAGCUCACACGAAUACUGUUUUCACAUUUAAGGCAUAGAAAAAUAAAAAUAAUAACCUACAAUCACAGCCAUAAGAGGGUAUUAAAACCAGAAAGGGUGACGAAAGUAGAUUUAGAUACCAAAACAAUACAAAUUUAAAGUUAAAGAAACUGCAAGUGAUUGAUAUUUAAAAAUGUACUCAUAAUUAAAAAUCAGCAGUACAUCCAGUUACAAUAAACCCAAAGUAAAACACAACAUACUGACGUAUACCCAAAACGCCGCAUUAUCAAUCCACAAAUCAUCAAAUAACAUGACAAUAAACUACGGUUUACAUAAAUAACACGACAAUAUGGUCAUGU